AUAAAUUUGUCCUAAAGUGCUGGGACAAAUUCUGAAGGUAAAAAAGUAACCAAAGGUUUGUAAAAGGAAAGCCCUAAAGAGGUUUAUGUCUGGUCAAGUUGGCCAGGAGUAAAGUAAAUCCAAUUAAGUAAAUAAACUUAUAUGUCAAAAGUAAACUGACACAGGGGCUGGCCCCGUGGCCGAGUGGUUAAGUUCGCGCGCUCCGCUGCAGGCGGCCCAGUGUUUCGUUAGUUCAAAUCCUGGGCGCGGACAUGGCACUGCUCAUCAGACCACGCUGAGGCAGCGUCCCACAUGCCACAACUAGAAGGACCCACAACGAAGAAUAUACAACUAUGUACCGGGGGAGCUUUGGGGAGAAAAAGGAAAAAAAAUAAAAGCUUUAAAAAAAAAAAAAAAGUAAACUGAUACAAAAUUAAAACUUGGUUUCCUCUUUCUUAAAAGGAUAAUUUUCCUAAAUUUUUAAUCUGAUCUUUAUAAAAAGAUUAUAAAAAGGCUUUUUUUUGUUGACUAUUUUAACUGUUUCCCCUUGACUGUUUCUAUUGUCACUUUGAAUAGAUACCUGAACAUGGUUUCGCAGUGAACUUUGUCUCCUAUCUAAACAAAUGUUUUAAAGCUUUUAGUAUUUCUGACAAGCUUCCCCACACACACAAAUAUUCAAGUCUUGAAUAAAAGCUUUCUUUUUACCUGGAAGAGGAGAGAGAGUUUCUUUGGGGAUUUUCAGAGGGCCCCUGGGACUUCUCAGAGAAAGCUCUCUUCCUAUAAGAAAAAUAAUGCUAAACUAAUAAGCCUUAUUUUUUUUGUUAAAUUACAUGAGAAACGUUGUCAAAUAAGUAAUGAUAAGCUUUCUUAAAUGGUAUUAUGUAAAUGAGUGUUAUUGAUACAUAUAUUUAAAAAAUUAUCUGAGCUGUUCUGAUUGCCAGCUAUAAUCCUGGUUAUUAUCUCAAAAUGUUGUAUAUCACAGACAUGGUCAAAUGCCUUUGUCAAUUACCAUUUUUGUACGUUUUGUUAUUUGUGAACAGUGGCUAUUUUACUUUGAUGUUUUGGCAAAUAUGUUUCAUCUGCAGAGAAAUUCAUGGAAAGGACUCUGACACUCUGGAAUACAGGUUUCCAGUAAACGUUCAGAUUGUAAAACUAAACUGGGUAAGAAUUACAGAACUCCAACAGAGAAACUGAUGACCUCACAAACUGCUGACAGAAGAUUAAGAUCAAGAACCGAUUACACAGGACAGAAUAAACUGAUAGGGAUGAUUAUAACUUUAAUGACUUUUUGAUUGAGAUAUUGCUGAUUUUUGAUGUUUUGCUUUUUUCAGAGUGAAGAAAACUUUUUUUCUCUAUUCUCUGAAAGAACUAUGACUUGCAACAAUUUAUAAACAAAAUUGAAACAUUUGUCUUUUCCUCCCUAUCUGAGCCCCCCAAAACGCAAAAACUUCUGAUAAGUAAGUAUUCUUAUUCUUAUGGCAAUAUAGUUGUUUGCAUAAGUGCAAUAAGAAUCUGUUCUUCUUUCAACAGGACACAAUUGGAAACAGUGGUUAUAUUACCAAGGCUUUGACUGGAACAUCAUGUUUGAAAAAACAGAUGGGCUUGAGUAUAACAAGACAGCUUUUGAGGAAUGAAGGUUGACAUUCUGGAAUAAAGCCACUUGGAAAUAUUGGCCUGGUACUGUGCUUAUGGGUUCUGUAACCUGAAAAACUUCGUAUUAAAUACCUGGUUACUAACUUACAUGAUACAGGCCCACCUUCAGGAGCCCACCAGCAUCACCGCCUUAUUAAAAGACUGGUUCAAUGAGAUGAAAUGACCUAUGCCCCAUUUCAGCAGGAAGUAGCUAGAUCCGUCGCCGCCCCCAAAUCCCUCAAGAUUGAGGGAGGACAUAAAAUAGGGGGGAGUUGAUAUCGACCCUGAUAUCAGUUUCCCCACAUUAAACUCAGCAUGUAUGGGGUUAAAACCAAAACACUCAUUCCCUGCUUACUCUCUGGCUUCCUGGCUCCAGAAUCCACUAUCCUCCAUGGAGACAGACACCGUCAAGGACAAGCACCUGGACUAUCUCCUCCCGCAAAGAGAUACGGGCUGGUGGGGAAGCUCCGACCAGCAAGGCCAUAUGCUCCCCCUCCCCUACCUGAAACCCCAAAUAGAAACCCUUCCUUUUAGCUUUUCGGGGAGUUUGGGAUUUCAGCGUUAGCUACCCUCUCUCCUUGCUCAGCGCUGUGCAAAAGUAAAGUUCCUACUUUCUUCCACCACCCCCGGUGUCAGAGAUUGGCUUGCUGUGCAACGGGUGAGGGAACUCACUUCAUGUUUGGUAACAACAUGACCUCCUUUCACCUCAGUUACUUCUUCAAAGGCACUGUCUUCAAACACAGUCACAGGCUGAGGUACUAGGAGUUAGGACCUUGUCAUAUGAAUUUUGAGGGGGACACAAUUCCGUAACAAGAGGGAAGGGAAUAUGUUGUUUCUAGACAUUUUCUUUCUUCCACUGGAAUACACUCAAAUGAAUACAAAGUCCCCUCCUAGUGUUUAUCCUCUUUUCCUACUGUGUCUCUUGAGUACCCAUCAUCCAGCCAUAAGUUCUUCUCGGGUUGUUCUUUGUUCUAAAUGCAAGGCUCCUUUGGGAUCAUCAGCCCCCUCUCAGAUCCUUACAUGCCACGUUCUCCCUUGAUACUCCAACGUCUGUGAAAAAUAGGGGAUGGGAAUGCUGGUGGCUUUCUUGGGUCCUCCUAUGGCUAAACAUGUGAGUCUCUCGCUUCUACUUACCGACUCUACACCUUGAAUUAUGGUGCACAACUGUAAGGCUGCUAGCUCCAGAGGUCCAGAGGUAAGGCCCUAAUCUCCUUUACUAUGGUCUUACCAAAUAUACAGGAUAUUUUAUCAUCCCCAGACUUGGUCAAACCUUGGUAAGCUGGAGGAAACCCGUAUUCCCAUCUAAUUUUUUUUGCCUCUUCCACAAAAUCCUCACUUCCCAGAAGGGUAAAACUUCAUGUAGGCCUUGAGUAGGGAGAAUCUGGUUUUUCAUCUAUUUUCUUUCUUG
Molecule: long non-coding RNA, 3019 nt
Filed under: Equus asinus (donkey)
Lineage: Eukaryota; Metazoa; Chordata; Mammalia; Perissodactyla; Equidae
Description: lncRNA (ENSEASG00005026269.1)
Source: RNAcentral